AGUGACAAGAUCUCACUGUGUUGCCCUAGCUGGUCUUGAACUCCUGCACUCAAGUGAUCCUCCCGCCGCGGCCUCCCAAAGUGCUGGGAUUACAGAUGUGAGCCGCCACGCCCAGCCUGCGUGGGUGUUUCUACAAAAUCAAAGCUGACUUCACGAGACCGCGGAUCUCAUUCGCUGAUCGACGCUGCAUAUUCAGCAUCUUGGAGAAUGAGGUUCGUGUAGUUAAUGAAAUCUCACCCAGCAGGGCCAACCCACAGAGAGCCUCUUUGUGAAGAGCGUGCUCCUGAACUCCGCUCCAGAACCAGCUUUGGAAAAGAAAAAUCUGAAAAAAUUGACCUCAACUAAACUGGUCCAAAUCCAUGA
Molecule: non-coding RNA, 363 nt
Organism: Macaca mulatta (Rhesus monkey)
Lineage: Eukaryota; Metazoa; Chordata; Mammalia; Primates; Cercopithecidae
Source: RefSeq, a predicted model, not a curated record